GACGGAGGGGGCAAGCGUUGUCCGGAUUUAUUGGGCGUAAAGAGCUCGUAGGCGGUUUGAUAAGUCGGGUGUGAAACCUCCAGGCUCAACCUGGAGCCGCCACUCGAUACUGUCAUGACUUGAGUCUGGUAGGGGACCACGGAAUUCCUGGUGUAGCGGUGAAAUGCGUAGAGAUCGGGAGGAACACCAGAGGCGAAGGCGGCCACCUGGACAAGCACUGACACUCAACUGCGAAAGCGUGGGGAGCAAACAGG
This 254-nucleotide ribosomal RNA is filed under the name uncultured bacterium. RNAcentral describes it as "partial 16S ribosomal RNA". It matches the Rfam family "Bacterial small subunit ribosomal RNA", at positions 524 to 776 of the family's 1533-position model. The record is from RNAcentral.